Molecule: ribosomal RNA, 2238 nt
Filed under: Triticum aestivum (bread wheat)
Lineage: Eukaryota; Viridiplantae; Streptophyta; Magnoliopsida; Poales; Poaceae
Description: partial small subunit ribosomal RNA
Source: RNAcentral
GACGUGUAGUUAAAGAAUAAGACGAUUGUGGUGGUGAGCGGGGGUGUUGGUGCUAAGGAAAGCUGGUUGGGUGUGGACGGAGGAGGAGGCCACGUGGGGUGGAGGUAAACGGUGCUAAGGGGAGGGGUCUAGGUGGAAGACGGGGCGGCCGCAGCGGGAGGGGGCUAGGUGGAAGAAAGGGCCGGCCGCGGCGGGAGGGGGCUAGGUGGAAGAAGGGGGCGGCCGCGGCGGGAGGGUGUUAGGUGGAUGAAGGUGGCGGCCACGGCGAGGUGGGCAUAGGCCGAAGAAGGGGGCGACCGCGGCGUCAACCGGCGUGGGGAGCCUCACUGGACGAGCACGGCGGGGCGGCGGGGAUUGAAGGGGACGAGCUAGAGCGUAGAAGAAUUCUCAUGUCAAGCCGAGGGCCGCCCGACUACAACGGGCCGUCGUGGCGGCACGUCAUGCGCGUAGCGUCGGUACGCCAAACAACCGCUGAGACCUGCCCUCUACGACGCAUGCACGCUCCAAGUCUUCCGGGACCGCACGUUGAGUCUACCCAACACACGCGCCAAGUCUACCCGGUCUUCGGAGCACGGAGGCCAGCGGGGAUGGAUGGGGUCACGCUCGGGCCGCCGGAAGGAGGUGGCGACCCAGGAGCCCAGACCACGUCGGAUGGGUGGCAGCUCCUCGGGGGGUGGGGAAGGAGGGGCGCUCGGGGUACUAUAGGCAUCGCGGCUGCCCGCAGCCUAGGGACGUGGUUGGCGGACCUAGGUCGGGUGUGGGGCGGCGGUACAGCGCGGCAGCUCUGAAGGGUCCAUGUGGCGCUGCGGAGUGGGUUUUUGUCUACUUGACGUCCUGUGGUGGGUGCUUCGGAGGCGUCCUCGUGAUCACUCGACGAGGUGUAAAUCACUAACUGUCUGCAACCCCUUAUACGAGGCGGCCCGUAGGCGGCUAUUCUAGGGUAGCCACUCAGCGGGUAAGUGGGAGAAGAGGACUACACCCACGUCGUGGUCCACUCGCGGGAACGUCAAACUACGUCGUGGUCCACUCGCAGGACUCGAGCAAGAACUUCGGGCACCUUCUCCACGUCUAAGAACGACUGGCGAGCUAACCGGAGGUAGAAGACAAUGAUAGGGAGAAUGUUCGGUCCACCUUCUUAUAAAGUCAAUACACAUACCGCGACUACCGUACUCUUAGUCGUUUAAACGUGGUCUCGGGCUUCUACUAAACCCUCAAGAGAAGACAGCCACGAUGUCACACUACGACCCUUCCGCGUUUUCUGUCACGUCAAUCCACACACCAGAGCCCGCACCUGCACGUCGAGCUGUUGGUACCUGUACGUCGAGCCUGCGCACGCACGUCGCCAAGUCACGAGCACAUGAACAUCCGAAACCACAAAAACGCACACCCACGUCAAGCAGUAGCGCCGCACACCACACGUCGACGUCAAGCACGUUCAGGAGAUGUGGGAACGCGAGCACGUCCAUGCCGAACAGCAGUUGCGGAUGUAGUGAAGGGGAGUAAAAACUUCGGUUCCCUACGAGCCCGCGGUACCUGUCUCGCCAUCAAAGGGGAGAAGAGGUUGAGGUUACUGAGGAGAUCCAGGAGAGGUAGCACGGGCAGUACAUCGUCACGUGAGGUCCUCCUUUUGUACCGCAUCCUCCCGACGUCCUCUACCCACCGAUGUGGACUCCGAUCUUUGAUGUUACCGGCGCGGCGCCAGGUGUACGCGGAACCGGCGACCUGUAUUUUACGUAUACACAAGUAUCGAACGCACAUCAAGGGUUCGCUGCGUAGACAUCAAAUGAGUUCUUUGUUUUUUACGUCUUCUUUUCUUUUGUUUCUUCAAGUAAAAACAAGAAAGAAAACUCAACCGUAAGUAAAAGGAUCCGUUUGCGAUUCUAAGGUCACGUCACGUGGAACACACUAAGGUAACGUUACGUGAAAGUACUAAAAAAUAAUGUUUACUAGUGUAGAGCAACACACGAGAAUAGUAAAAAAAAUUCUUUUACAACACACUAGAUAGUCGUCGCGCGUCGAGUGCUGUGUCCAUAAACGUUAAGAGGUGGGACAACGUACGCCAAAUGUAGAACGCUCUGUCAACUUAUACUGUUUUUUUUACAGUACGGCAAAUGAAGAUAAACACAGCGUCAAGUGAAAGGAGGGUUACACAAAGCUUUCGUCGAUAAACGUAGUCUUGGAUUUUCACACGAACCAGAAUACCUGAGGAGACAACAUGUGAACCAUUUAUGUUUUAUU